This 1050-nucleotide long non-coding RNA is filed under the name Ananas comosus (pineapple). RNAcentral's name for it is "long non-coding RNA (ACOM_LNC008397)". Lineage: Eukaryota; Viridiplantae; Streptophyta; Magnoliopsida; Poales; Bromeliaceae. The record is from RNAcentral.
AGUUGUCCUUGUCAAGGACACAUCAGGAGCAGCGAAUAAGGGUUGCAGGAUUCCGAGCGACGAGCGACAAAAAAGAGGAGAGAAAAAGAAAAUUCUAGAAUCAUAUGUUGAGAGAGAAAGAAAGAGACAUCUUUGUUGGUUUGGGAGAUUAAAAAAAAAAAAAGAGAGAGAAAGAGGGUUGAAAAAUAUGGUUGAAAGAGAGAAAAUAGUUUUACUAAAAUAAAAAAGAAAAAAAAAUUAAAAACCAUGAGAAUUUAUGUAUAGGUAUAGAUUUUAACUGUAAGCGUGGACAUAACGCUUACAGUAGCGAUUUAAAAAAGGAGGGUGUAUUUCAAAAUAGGGAAAACUUCAAAAAUCUCCAUAUGGUUUCAUAGUUUUUCACUUUAGUACCCUAUGUUUUAAAGUGCACCAAGUUAGUACCAUAUGAUUUCGUACUUUUUUACUUUAGUACCCUCUGGUUUAAAGUGUAUCAAGUUAGUACUCCGUGGUUUCAUUUUUGAAUCAAGUUAGUACCCGUGGUUUUAUUUUUCCCUUUUUAUUAUACAUUUCGGAGUAUUUUUUUUAUUAAAUCAGUGAUAAAGUUAAAACUAAUUAAAGAGUACUAAAGUGAAUAUUCGAUAAACCUAGAUAGGAUAUCUGAAGUUUUUUGUAUAUAAUUUAAUGGAAUAUUAAACCACAUGGUACUAUAGUUAGAAAGUGCGAAACCACAGGGUAUUAACUUAAUACACUUUAAACCACAAGAUACUAAAGUGAGAAAAUACGAAACCACAGGGUACUAACUUGAUACCCUUUAAACCACAGGGUACUAAAGUGAGAAAGUGCGAAACUAUAUGGUACUAGCUUAAUACACUUUAAACCACAAGAUACUAAAGUGAGAAAAUACGAAACCACAGGGUACUAACUUGAUACCCUUUAAACCACAGGGUACUAAAGUGAGAAAGUGCGAAACUAUAUGGUACUAGCUUAAUACACUUUAAACCACAUGAUACUAAGUGAGAAAGUGCGAAACCACAUGGGGAAUUUGAAGUUUUCCUUUCAACAUAACCACAU